This 1082-nucleotide ribosomal RNA is filed under the name human gut metagenome. RNAcentral describes it as "bacterial LSU rRNA". It matches the Rfam family "Bacterial large subunit ribosomal RNA", at positions 803 to 1977 of the family's 2925-position model. The record is from RNAcentral.
GAUGAACUGUGGGUAGCGGAGAAAUUCCAAUCGAACCCGGAGAUAGCUGGUUCUCUCCGAAAUAGCUUUAGGGCUAGCCUUGAAAUAGAUUACCGGAGGUAAAGCACUGAAUUGGCUAGGGGCCGAGAGGUUACUGAACCUUAUCAAACUAAGAAUGCCGGAUAAUCGUUUUUCAGGAGUCAGACAGUGGGAGAUAAGUUUCAUUGUCAAAAGGGAAACAGCCCAGACCCACAGCUAAGGUCCCCAAGUAUAGUUAAGUGGAAAAGGAUGUGGAAUUGCACAGACAACCAGGAUGUUGGCUUAGAAGCAGCCACUCAUUAAAAGAGUGCGUAAUAGCUCACUGGUCGAGUGACUCUGCGCCGAAAAUUUAACGGGGCUAAACUAUACACCGAAGCUUGGGAUACAUCUAAUGUAUGGUAGGAGAGCGUUCUGUAUGGGGAGAAGUCGUAGCGAAAGCGGCGGUGGACUAUACAGAAGUGAGAAUGCCGGAAUAAGUAGCGAGAAUUAAGUGAGAAUCUUAAUGGCCGAAAGUCUAAGGUUUUUGGAGGAAGGUUCGUCCGCUCCAAGUAAGUCGGGAGCUAAGGUCAGGCCGAAAGGCGUAGCCGAUGCACAUACGGUUGAUAUUCCGUAACCAUCUGUAAUUUAAGCAAAGGGACACUUCAAAAGGGUGUGACCCGGGCGUUGGUUGACCCGGGCGUAAGGGACCGAAAUUAGAGUAGGGAAGCACACUUAGCUGAAGGCGAGAAAAGCUUUGCGUAUAGAAACAGAUGCCCGUACCGCAAACCGACACAGGUGGACAGGAAGAGAAUUCUAAGGCCAGCGGGAGAAGGGUAGUUAAGGAACUCGGCAAAUUGACUCCGUAACUUCGGAAUAAGGAGUGCUCGAAAGAGCCGCAGAGAAUAGGCCCAGGCGACUGUUUAGCAAAAACACAGGUCUCUGCCAAAUCGAAAGAUGAAGUAUAGGGGCUGACACCUGCCCGGUGCCGGAAGGUUAAGAGGAGGAGUGAGAGCUCCGAAUUGAAGCCCCGGUAAACGGCGGCCGUAACUAUAACGGUCCUAAGGUAGCGAAAUUCCUUGUCGGGU